Long non-coding RNA from Armigeres subalbatus, 411 nucleotides. RefSeq lists it as uncharacterized. The transcript has 3 exons. Lineage: Eukaryota; Metazoa; Arthropoda; Insecta; Diptera; Culicidae. The record is from RefSeq and is a predicted model, not a curated record.
GCCAAGCAGGCAUACGCGCGAGUGCUUAAGCAAGUUGUAUUUUUGUGAUUGAUUGCCUGACCGACGGGAAUAGAACAAAACGAAGUGCAGUGCAGUGGGUGUUGAUUAUGGCUUAGGGCCAGUUAUGAAAACCUGCAGCUGGUUAGCCCAUAUUUGGUAUCUGCACCGAGAAGCAACAGUGAUGGAGUAGAGUUUAGAUUUGCUUAGAGAUCGGCCUUUCAUUCGCUGCAAAAAUUAUGUAGCGGCUUGUGAGAGCAACAUCCCAAGACGACGGCGAAUUGAAGUGGCUGGCUUGGAUCGCUGGCAGAGGCCAGCAAUCAUCUUGGGUCUGUCCGGACAGACAUGACGGUUUGCAGUCGCCGAGGGAUACAUUUUUACACUGACACACACACACACACUAAACUUUAGGUU